GUGCUGUAUGAAAGGAGAGAAGAACAGCACUGCACUAAGGAUGAAAGACUUCCUGAUGGCCUUACAACACACAGACAGUUAAGACAUUGCCAUCUACUUAGUGGCAUCUAACUGUUGUGUAUU
Molecule: small nuclear RNA, 123 nt
Organism: Hypanus sabinus (Atlantic stingray)
Lineage: Eukaryota; Metazoa; Chordata; Chondrichthyes; Myliobatiformes; Dasyatidae
Source: RefSeq, a predicted model, not a curated record